CCUACGGGAGGCAGCAGUGGGGGAUAUUGCACAAUGGGGGGAACCCUGAUGCAGCGACGCCGCGUGGGUGAAGAAGCGCCUCGGGGCGUAAAGCCCUGUCAGCAGGGAAGAAAAUGAAGGUACCUGAAGAAGAAGCCCCGGCCAACUACGUGCAAGCAGCCGCGGUAAUACGCAGGGGGCAAGCGUAUCCGGGUUUACUGGGUGUAAAGGGGGCGCAGACGGCGAUGCAAGCCAGGAGUGAAAGCCCGGGGCCCAACCCCGGGACUGCUCUUGGAACUGGGUGGCUGGAGUGCAGGAGGGGCAGGCGGAAUUCCUGGUGUAGCGGUGAAAUGCGUAGAUAUCAGGAGGAACUCCGGUGGCGAAGGCGGCCUGCUGGACUGCAACUGACGCUGAUGCGCGAAAGCGUGGGGAGCAAACAGGAUUAGAUACCCCUGUAGUC
Molecule: ribosomal RNA, 439 nt
Filed under: uncultured bacterium
Lineage: Bacteria
Description: partial 16S ribosomal RNA
Rfam family: Bacterial small subunit ribosomal RNA
Source: RNAcentral